GAAAGUAAUGAAGGGCGUACGGUGGAUGCCUAGGCUCUUACAGGCGAUGAAGGACGUGAUAAGCUGCGAAAAGCCGCGGUGAGGCGCAAAUGGCCCUUGACCCGCGGAUCUCCGAAUGGGACAACCCAAUAUCUUGAAGAGAUAUUAUCCCGCCGAUGCGGGAGGCGAACGCGGGGAACUGAAACAUCUUAGUACCCGCAGGAAAAGAAAAUAAAGAAUGAUUCCCCCAGUAGUGGCGAGCGACCGGGGAAGAGCCCAAACCGACGUUGUCUCGGCAUCGUCGGGGUUGUAGGACCGCGCCAUCGCAAGAAAGGCCGUGAGUGGAAGCGACUGGAAAGCCGCGCCAUAGAGGGUGACAGCCCCUUACACGAAGCAGCCCGAAGCGUAGCGGACUCCUGAGUAGCGCGGGACACGAGUAAUCCUGUGUGAAUCCGCCGGGCCCAUCCGGCAAGGCUAAAUACUCGUAAGAGACCGAUAGUGAACCAGUACCGUGAGGGAAAGGUGAAAAGGACCCCUUGCAGGGGAGUGAAAGAGUUCCUGAAACCGUACGCCUACAAGCGGUCGGAGCAUCUUGAAUGAUGUGACGGCGUGCCUUUUGCAUAAUGAACCUACGAGUUGCCGUCACCAGCGAGGUUAAGUGCGAUGACGCACCGAGCCGCAGCGGAAGCGAGUCUUAAAAGGGCGCAAUAGUUGGUGGAGGCAGACGCGAAACCGAGUGAUCUACACUUGUCCAGGAUGAAGUCCCGGUAACACGGGAUGGAGGUCCGCACCAAUAAGCGUUGAAAAGCUUCUGGAUGAGGUGAGUGUAGGAGUGAAAGGCCAAUCAAACUCGGAGAUAGCUCGUACUCCCCGAAAGGCAUUUAGGUGCCGCCUGUGGCGUUCCCGACGUGAGGUAGAGCGACUGAUAGGAUGCGAGGGCUUCACCGCCUAUCAAGUCCUGACAAACUCCGAAUGCACGUCGGCCAAGCCAUGGAGUAAGGGCAUGGGUGCUAAGGUCCGUGCCCGAGAGGAGAAGAAUCCAGACCACCGGCUAAGGUCCCGAAAUACUGGUUAAGUUAGACUAACGCAGUCCGGCCCCCAAGACAGCUAGGAUGUUGGCUUGGAAGCAGCCAUUCAUUCAAAGAGUGCGUAACAGCUCACUAGUCGAGGAGCUGGGCGUGGAUAAUAAUCGGGUAUGAAACCAGUUACCGAAGCCGUGGGAUGCUUAAGCAUCGGUAGGGGAGCAUUGCAUGCGGCUUAGAAGGCGGGGCGCGAGCCCCUCUGGAGCGCAUGGAAACGCAAAUGUAGGUAUAAGUAACGACAAGGGGGGUGGGAUGCCCCCCCGCCGAAAGACCAAGGUUUCCUGAACAACGCUAAUCGGUUCAGGGUCAGUCGGGUCCUAAGCAUAAGCCGUAUGGCGAGGGCGAUGGACGAAACGGUUAAUAUUCCGUUACUGUCUUGGUGUGUGACGCGGCGACGGAGUAGUGACACGGCCGCCUCCUGACGGAAAAGGGGGUUGAAGCGCAAAGGUGUCGAGGAAGGCAGGCAAAUCCACCUUCCGAGCCGAAGCGCGAAAGUACGCCGGGCCCUUUGGGGCAAGGCGAUAGUGCCGGUAAUCAGACUUCCAAGAAAACCCGCUAAACUUCAGCACCAAGUCACCCGUACUCUAAACGGACACACGUGGUCGGGUAGAAUAUACUAAGGCGCUUGGGAGAUUCACGGUUAAGGAACUAGGCAAAUUGACCCCGUACCUUCGGAAUAAGGGGUCCUCGCUUUUGCGAGGCGCAGAGAAUAGGUCCAGGCAACUGUUUAACAAAAACACAGGGCUGUGCAAAUUUGAAAGAAGAAGUAUACAGCCUGACACCUGCCCGGUGCCGGAAGGUUAAGAGGAGAGCUCAUCAGCGAUGAGAAGGUUUGAAUUGAAGCCCCGGUAAACGGCGGCCGUAACUAUAACGGUCCUAAGGUAGCGAAAUUCCUUGUCGGGUAAGUUC
RNAcentral lists this ribosomal RNA (1970 nucleotides) under human gut metagenome. RNAcentral describes it as "bacterial LSU rRNA". It matches the Rfam family "Bacterial large subunit ribosomal RNA", at positions 1 to 1983 of the family's 2925-position model. The record is from RNAcentral.